This 184-nucleotide non-coding RNA is filed under the name Chlorogloea sp. CCALA 695. Its description in RNAcentral is "6S / SsrS RNA". It matches the Rfam family "6S / SsrS RNA". From Rfam's summary of the family: E. coli 6S RNA was the first non coding RNA to be sequenced, but its function was unknown until recently. It consists of 184 nucleotides that fold into an extended hairpin structure with a large single-stranded internal bulge. The 6S RNA specifically associates with RNA polymerase holoenzyme containing the sigma70 specificity factor. RNAcentral also lists the same sequence under 1 other name. Lineage: Bacteria; Bacillati; Cyanobacteriota; Cyanophyceae; Chroococcales; Entophysalidaceae. The record is from Rfam by way of RNAcentral.
GUUGUGCUGCGACGUUGGUGACUGCCAAUAAUGUUUUUGAUCUAUGUUUUGUCCGAUAAGGGAAUCAAAACGUUUUGGCAGCAGUAAACCGGGCUUGUACCCGGAAACUUCAAGCUAAACGCCCCGAUGCCCACCUGGUUUUACCAGGUCUAAAACUGAGGUAAGACGGCGUUGCGGUCAACUU